GUGGGGGUGGGUGGGCAGAAGCAGGAGAGAGCAGGAGAAAGGGCAGAAGGAGACUGCCUCUGAGACCUUCCAUUGUUCUCCAGGUCAAAGUAUUCAGCAUGCCACUGCACCAUAUUUUGGGGCGUCAUGGUCAUUUGUUAAGCAUCAACAAAAUAGUGCUGUAUAGCUGAGAGGAUGUGCAGAGAGAACAAUACAUUCAACGAGACCGAAGAUGUCUGAGAACUGUCACGGAUAGAGAUUUAUUACAUUCAGAAGCCAGAAGACUCAUCUUUCCAAGAAUAUUAAAAUGGUUUGCACAAGACAGAAAGGACACUAGGAAUUCCUUUAGAUGCUUGAGUCCAAGUUCCAUUUUGCUACCUUUCCACUGGAAGACCUUCAGC
This is a long non-coding RNA of Heterocephalus glaber (naked mole-rat), 380 nucleotides long. The record is from Ensembl. Lineage: Eukaryota; Metazoa; Chordata; Mammalia; Rodentia; Bathyergidae.